This is a non-coding RNA of Desulfobacteraceae bacterium 4572_35.1, 133 nucleotides long. The record is from Rfam. Lineage: Bacteria; Pseudomonadati; Thermodesulfobacteriota; Desulfobacteria; Desulfobacterales; Desulfobacteraceae.
UUUCAUUUCUAAUGAUCGAAAUUAUUAAAUCGACAGGAGAUUAGAGGAAGAUGGUGCAAAACCAUCGCGGACCCGCCACUGUGACCGGAAGUUAUUUCGGAAGUCAGAUACUCUUUCCCUUAAAGUCAAAACC